AAACAAUCUGUAUAUCCACGUGAACGAUUUGUUUUUAAAACUGGGGCAAUUGGCCUUCCUAGCUUUCCUUCUAGUAAUGUCCUUCGACCCCCAUUGCCACCAUCUAGAUUGCUAUAGACUUACUAUACCAUUUACUGAUCAGUGGAAUCUCCCUCAAUCUACGUUGUUGGUAUUUGUUUUCCGCUCUUCAGAAUAAUUCCCUGCUGGCAUUACGCAUGUGCGAGUGGGCAAUCUGUUGCAUGGGGAAAUGUCAAAUAAUGAUACAAUCAGGAUUAGAUCUUUCCUUAAAAUUUUGAGACCAUUGGUAUAUAUUGACUUUUCUCCAAUGAAAUGGGUUGUAGGAUACCUUUUUUUUUUUUAUUAUUUAUUUUUUUAUUUCCCUUUCUAAUAUUUAUAGAUCGGUUUCUUUCUUAAUAAAUUGGUUUGUACCAUUUAAACACUGAACAGUACAUGAUGUGAUGGAUGUAUGGUUUGGAAUCACAGAUUUUAGUGGUCCUCUGCUGACCCAAGCGUUCAUGUUGAGUUGUCAGCAAAUCAGUCAUUUUAGUUGACACACUUGUGUGCUGAAGCAGAGAAGGCUGUAAAAUUUUUGUUUAGCAGCCCUUGGGUUUUGUUAAUUUUAGAACAGUUUUUUUUCCGUGUAAGGAUCCUCCGUGCAGAAAUCCUGCAUGCACAAAUCCAUAUAAUUAAUCAUCCAGAUUUUAUUUGCCAAAGAUUUGUGCCAUAGCUACAUUCUUCUCCCUCUCCCUCGAAUAUAAAACAUUCCUCUGUAAUGAUGAAUAACCACGUAAGGUGCAGCCACAAACAGCUUCUGUUUUUAUUAAUGAAAUGAAUAGGAGGCAAGUGGCUCAUCCAUUGUGUGUCCUUUUUAGUUAAUUUUCAUAGCAGCUUAUGUCCUGUGCAAGUAUCUCUCAUUCAAUAGUAUCUCUUUAACAUUCUCUUAAGCACUUUAAGUUUGGUAAAUCUUGUUUGACUGAAACAGGCUUCUUCCAUUUCUUCCCCCAGUUAUUCUUUUGUGCCCUAAACAAAGUUGGGAGCAUCUUUUGGCUUUCUCUCCUCCAUUUUAUUUAACUUUUUAUUUACAUUUUUUUGUGAAAUACUGCAUAGAUUGUGUGAUUACUGUCACUUGUAACAAGCAAGACUCAUGCAAUCUAUAAAUUUACUAGCAUUUUGUUUAAUUGGGUGGGAUUGGAAUGUUUGUUUUGUUUUUAUUUUCAUUUUCCUACAUAAUGGUUGGUGUUCUGUUACUUGCUGUUUAGCAAAAUUGACUUAAAGAUAGUUAACAAUAUGUCACAAAACACUCGUACCACUUGAAAUAAAAUAUCCCUCUAAUUUUAAAAAUAUUAUAUAUUUAAUAUAAAAGUUGCUGGGCUUUUUUAUUUUUUUUUGUGCUGAUUUGAUGGAAUGGAUCACCUAAAUGGUGCUGUGGAUUACAUUCCUUUUUGUUGGCUGAUUGGGUUAUUUUAAAAAUAAAAAUAAAUAUUUGAGGCUGGCAGAUUUGUAGCCAAAAUAUUCAAGCUGGAAAAUUUUAUCUAAUUCAGCUGCGUUGUCCUGAGAUUUCCGUUUUGCGGGUCAAUGCCCAACUGAUUUUUAGCAAAUAACCCUGUUCCUAAUUGUCUUCUUCUCUCAUCAGCUGACACCAAAUUACAAAAGUACAUGUGCUCAAAACUCCAAAAAAUGUGCUGUAACUCAGUCAGACAACCCACCACUCUCCACUUGGUGUAAGUCUGUAGUACAGGGGUGGGAUGUCCACAUGGUAGAUCCCCAGUUGUUUCUGAACUACAACUGCUACAAUACUUUGGCAUUCUUAAGGCUUGCAAAACAUAACGGAAGAUAUAGGUCUUCAUUAUAUGAAAAUCUAUUGUUUGUGCCUUUCUGCUAGAGGAUAAGAUUUGUCGUCAUACAGCUUCUCGACUGUAACUCAUCCUAAAUAUUUAUUUGGUGCAGUGAAGGAACUUGAUGGAAUAUAGUAUAUAGUGCUGAAUGUCUGGCAGUAUACAAAGUAUUUCUUUAAGAAAUUGAAGACGGAGGAGAACCAAAGAACUGGUUUAAAAGUGAUCUGCCUUUGAAAUGAGUAUCAAUAACUAUCGUUCUUCAGAUUUCUCUAAUUUCAGUCCAUAAAGUUGGGACACUUGUUUCAAUGCAUCGCACACUCCUAGCACUGAAAGAGUUAUCGAAGGUACCAGCUGAAGUCUUGUGCUCUUGCUACUCUGUUUAAAAAAAACUGGUUUGUGUUCCAAAGGGACAAAUCUGGUCUGGGAACCUGUUUAUUUAUGAAAGGACACUUGGAAGCACGACACUGUCCUCAGUGUCUGUUUAUGCACUCUCAUGUUUAAUAUGUGGCUAGGAGGUAAAUCACUGGAGUGUGAUGGGUGUGUGAAGAUUUAGUCUUUAUAACUGGAAUUGUGAGGUUAUCAAAUCAAUGCAAUAGUGUAUUUCUAUAUUUUAUUGUAAAUAUCCUGUUAAGUGAUUUUAAUUUCUAUUAUUCUGUAAACAGGGCAGCUGUAUGAUGUGUACAUAUAUUUUUGUUUUUUCUGAUAUUUAAAAUGUUUAAUUUAUUGCCUGAAAGACCAUUUGAAG
This 2580-nucleotide long non-coding RNA is filed under the name Pelobates cultripes (western spadefoot toad). Lineage: Eukaryota; Metazoa; Chordata; Amphibia; Anura; Pelobatidae. The record is from RNAcentral.